RNAcentral lists this ribosomal RNA (368 nucleotides) under uncultured cyanobacterium. RNAcentral describes it as "bacterial SSU rRNA". It matches the Rfam family "Bacterial small subunit ribosomal RNA", at positions 354 to 738 of the family's 1533-position model. The record is from RNAcentral. Lineage: Bacteria; Bacillati; Cyanobacteriota.
GUGGGGAAUUUUCCGCAAUGGGGAAAAGCUUGAGGGACAAAUGCCGCGUGGAGGUAAAGGCCCCUGGGUCAUGAACUUCUUUUCCCGGAGAAGAAAAAAUGACGGUAUCCGGGGAAUAAGCAUCGGCUAACUCUGUGCCAGCAGCCGCGGUAAGACAGAGGAUGCAAGCGUUAUCCGGAAUGAUUGGGCGUAAAGCGUCUGUAGGUGGCUUUUUAAGUUCGCUGUCAAAUCCCAGGGCUCAACCCUGGACAGGCGGUGAAAACUACUAAGCUAGAGUACGGUAGGGGCAGAGGGAAUUUCCGGUGGAGCGAUGAAAUGCGUAGAGAUCGGAAGGAACACCAACGGCGAAAGCACUCUGCUGGGCCGCC